AACGAACGCUGGCGGCGUGCCUAAUACAUGCAAGUCGAACGGGCGUCGCAAGACGUCAGUGGCAGACGGGUGAGUAACACGUGGGAACGUGCCCAUCGGUUCGGACUAACCCAGGGAAACUUGGGCUAAUGCCGGAUACGCCUUGGCGCAAGCUGGGGGAAAGAUUGAUUUGCCGAUGGAUCGGCCCGCGUCUGAUUAGCUUGUUGGUGGGGUAACGGCUCACCAAGGCGACGAUCAGUAGCUGGUCUGAGAGGAUGAUCAGCCACACUGGGACUGAGACACGGCCCAGACUCCUACGGGAGGCAGCAGUGGGGAAUAUUGGACAAUGGGCGAAAGCCUGAUCCAGCAAUGCCGCGUGAGUGAUGAAGGCCUUAGGGUUGUAAAGCUCUUUUACCAGGGAUGAUAAUGACAGUACCUGGAGAAUAAGCUCCGGCUAACUCCGUGC
This 445-nucleotide ribosomal RNA is filed under the name uncultured bacterium. RNAcentral describes it as "bacterial SSU rRNA". It matches the Rfam family "Bacterial small subunit ribosomal RNA", at positions 29 to 508 of the family's 1533-position model. The record is from RNAcentral.